Molecule: non-coding RNA, 486 nt
Organism: Erythranthe guttata (spotted monkey flower)
Lineage: Eukaryota; Viridiplantae; Streptophyta; Magnoliopsida; Lamiales; Phrymaceae
Source: RefSeq, a predicted model, not a curated record
AAGAGUUUGGUCCAACUCGCAUUCGCAGGUAAUAGGUGUGCUCCUAUUCCUAUUUACUUGGUCCAAGUCAAUUUCUUCUCCCACUUCUUCAUAUUUAUACAUACCCAGAACCUCUUUCCAUCGGCGGCACUCCUCCUCCGCUCUCCGCCGUCAUCACCGCCGCCGCCGCCUCGAAGAUGCCAAACGCUUAAUUAAUUAGUUUCCUAAAACAAUUGCAGCAGAAAAUAGGAUUUUUUACGAGGAUUCAUCAGCUGAACUGCUGAAGAAAAACAUUCACUAUAUAGUGGCAUGCAGCAAAACAUCAACUUGCAGUUAACGAAGAAGAAAACUGAGCAAAAGAAUGCCUGAGAAAGAACCAAGUAAUAUAUCACCGAAACAGAAUCCCGACACUGGUAACAAUGCAUCACAAGAAUCACAUGAAGACAAGUCUUGUGUUUUGGUGCAGACAGAAACCUCUGAUUCUAGAAACAAUGUUUCACAAUCCCA